This 466-nucleotide ribosomal RNA is filed under the name uncultured bacterium. Its description in RNAcentral is "partial 16S ribosomal RNA". It matches the Rfam family "Bacterial small subunit ribosomal RNA", at positions 28 to 507 of the family's 1533-position model. The record is from RNAcentral.
GACGAACGCUGGCGGCGUGCUUAACACAUGCAAGUCGAACGGAAAGGCCUCUUUCGGGGGGUACUCGAGUGGCGAACGGGUGAGUAACACGAGGGUAACAUGCCCCUGACUUUGGGGUAACUUCAGGAAACUGGGGCUAAUACUGGAUAGGAGCUUCUGCUGCAGGGUGGGGGUUGGAAAGUUGCGGCGGUUGGGGCUGGACAUGCGGCGUAUCAGCUUGUUGGUGGGGUAGUGGCUUACCAAGGCUUUGACGGGUAGCCGGCCUGAGAGGGUGACCGGCCACAUGGGUCCUAAGAUAGGGCCCAGACGCCAACGGUAGGCAGUAGGGGGAAGUCUUACACAGCGGGUGGAAGCCUGUGGCAGAAACGCCGUGAUCGUAAGACUGCCUUCGUGGUGUAAACCGCUUGCGCUCAUGACUAAGCUUUGUGUGACGGUAGUGGGUAAAGAAGCACCGGCUAACUACGUG